Molecule: long non-coding RNA, 297 nt
Filed under: Citrus sinensis (sweet orange)
Lineage: Eukaryota; Viridiplantae; Streptophyta; Magnoliopsida; Sapindales; Rutaceae
Description: long non-coding RNA (CSIN_LNC002734)
Source: RNAcentral
CUUCAUGGAGGAUCAUCUCUUCGAUUGAGCAGAAGGAGGAGAGCAGGGGAAAUGAAGACCAUGUCUCAGUAAUUAAGGAGUACAGGAGCAAGAUUGAGAAUGAGCUCAGCAAGAUCUGUGAUGGGAUUCUUAGCCUCCUUGAGUCUCAUCUCAUUCCCUCUGCCUCAUCGGCUGAGUCUAAGGUGUUCUACCUGAAGAUGAAGGGUGAUUACCACAGGUAUCUGGCUGAGUUCAAGACUGGAGCUGAGAGGAAGGAAGCUGCGGAGAGCACUUUGUUGGCCUACAAGUCAGCUCAGG